GUGUUUAUAGCCCUGUGACUUUAACACUUCAUGACUGAGAGCUGCUGCUCAGCAACUUCACCCACAGCAACCAUGACUUUGAUCAGCGUCUUCAUCUGCACACUGGCCCUCUGGACUCAAGGAUCCAGAGGUCAGGUGACUGUGACUCAGACUCCUUCAGUGCAAACUGUUGAUCCAGGAAAAACAGUCACCUUCAACUGUAGAACCAGUAGCAGUGUGCUUGGUGGUAACUAUCUCGCCUGGUACCUGCAGAAACCUAGAGAAGCUCCUAAACUCCUGAUCCAUGAUGCUACUAGCUCAUACACAGGAACUCCAGCUCGUUUCAGUGGCAGUGGAUCUAAUACUGACUUCACUCUGACCAUCAGAGGAGUCCAGACUGAAGAUGCAGGAGAUUACUACUGUCAGAGUUUACAUGUGAUCAGUGGUAGCUGGGUGUUCACACAGUGUUAGAGCGCCGUACAAAAACCUCGGUCAGUGAGAGUGCACAGAGAAGCACUGCUGCAGCUGGGAGCGACUGCAGGUGCUGAGGGGGAGGAUGUGAUACAGCACAAUGACACACACUGUGGACGAGAGAAAACACACCACACUAACUCACUAAUGCACACACACAUCUGUGAGAGGAGUCUACCUUUCUCUCAAGAAAACCAUAAAUAUAAAGAAUUCACAACAUAAAAGUCCAUCAAGUUCUGUGUAAUAAAGUGGAAUGACACGGGAAAAAAGUAUUGAACACGCUAAGAAAAAGCAUUUCUCCAAGGCAAGGUAAGGAAAGGAACCAUCUGAAAUCUGUAAGUCAUUACACCCCCUAUCUGUGCACAUUAAUAUCAGCUGGGUUAGUACAUUGAUGGUCUAUAAAAAGGCUUUUCGUUACAAAGGUGGCACACAUGAAACAUCUCAUGAUGGGUAAAAUCAAAGAGCGCUCCCAAGACUUUUGGAACAUUAUUGUUGAAAAACAUAUUGAUGGAAUCAGAUACAGACGUAUUUCAAAACUUCUGAAUCCUCCAGUAAGCACCAUUGGGGCCGUUAUCCACAGGUGGAAGCAACAUCACUCCGUCAUCGCACAGGAGCUCCUCGGAAGAUUUCUGACCCAGGAGUCAGAAGAAUAGUCAGAAGAGUAGCCCAAGAGCCAAGGACCACUCGGAAAGAGCUCCAGAAACACUUGGAGGCAGCA
This is a non-coding RNA of Ictalurus furcatus (blue catfish), 1168 nucleotides long. Lineage: Eukaryota; Metazoa; Chordata; Actinopteri; Siluriformes; Ictaluridae. The record is from the annotation of a RefSeq genome assembly.